GACGAACGCUGGCGGCGUGCUUAACACAUGCAAGUCGAACGGUUAGAGCCUGUUCGGGUGUGUUUCUCGAGGGGCGAGCGUGUGUGUAACGUGGGAGUAACCCGCCCUUGACUUGGGUAUAACUGGAGGAAAGUGGGUCUAAUACCAGAUUUCAGCUCCUGCGCCUGGGUGGGGGUAGAAAAGUCCCGGCGGUUGGGGUUGGACUCGCGGCUUGUCAGCUUGUUGGUGGGGUAGCGGCUUACCAAGGCUUUGAAGGGUAGCUGGCCUGAGAGGGCGACCGGCCAGAUUGGGACUGAGAUACGGCCCAGACUCCUACGGGAGGCAGCAGUGGGGAAUCUUGCACAAUGGGCGGAAGCCUGAUGCAGCGACGCCGCGUGCGGGAUGAAGGCCUUCGGGUUGUAAACCGCUUUCGGCUGUGACGAAGCGUGAGUGACGGUAACGGGAGAAGAAGCCCCGGCUAACUACGUG
Molecule: ribosomal RNA, 468 nt
Filed under: uncultured bacterium
Lineage: Bacteria
Description: partial 16S ribosomal RNA
Rfam family: Bacterial small subunit ribosomal RNA
Source: RNAcentral